CCUACGGGAGGCAGCAGUGAGGAAUAUUGGUCAAUGGGCUUACGCCUGAACCAGCCAAGUCGCGUGAGUGAAGAAGUAAUUCGUUACGUAAAGCUCUAUCAGCAGGGAAGAAAAUGACGGUACCUGAGUAAGAAGCCCCGGCUAACUACGUGCCAGCAGCCGCGGUAAUACGUAGGGGGCAAGCGUUAUCCGGAUUUACUGGGUGUAAAGGGAGCGUAGACGGCAGUGCAAGUCUGGAGUGAAAGGCGGGGGCUCAACCCCCGGACUGCUCUGGAAACUGUACGGCUGGAGUGCAGGAGAGGUAAGUGGAAUUCCUAGUGUAGCGGUGAAAUGCGUAGAUAUUAGGAGGAACACCAGUGGCGAAGGCGGCUUACUGGACUGUAACUGACGUUGAGGCUCGAAAGCGUGGGGAGCAAACAGGAUUAGAUACCCUAGUAGUC
Molecule: ribosomal RNA, 440 nt
Filed under: uncultured bacterium
Lineage: Bacteria
Description: partial 16S ribosomal RNA
Rfam family: Bacterial small subunit ribosomal RNA
Source: RNAcentral